ACCCCUAUCCUUAUUUGCCAGCGCGUUAUGGCGGGAACUCUAAGGAGACUGCCGGUGAUAAACCGGAGGAAGGUGGGGACGACGUCAAGUCAUCAUGGCCCUUACGGGAUGGGCUACACACGUGCUACAAUGGCAGGUACAGAGGGCAGCAAUACCGCGAGGUGGAGCGAAUCCCACAAAGCUUGUCGUAGUCCGGAUUGGAGUCUGCAACUCGACUCCAUGAAGUCGGAAUCGCUAGUAAUCGUAGAUCAGAAUGCUACGGUGAAUACGUUCCCGGGCCUUGUACACACCGCCC
Molecule: ribosomal RNA, 295 nt
Filed under: uncultured Alteromonadales bacterium
Lineage: Bacteria; Pseudomonadati; Pseudomonadota; Gammaproteobacteria; Alteromonadales
Description: partial 16S ribosomal RNA
Rfam family: Bacterial small subunit ribosomal RNA
Source: RNAcentral